Long non-coding RNA from Brachypodium distachyon (stiff brome), 356 nucleotides. RefSeq lists it as uncharacterized. NCBI's taxonomy places the organism in Eukaryota, Viridiplantae, Streptophyta, Magnoliopsida, Poales, Poaceae. The record is from RefSeq and is a predicted model, not a curated record. The transcript is spliced from 3 exons.
UCGUGGUGGUUCCACAUGGCUGCUGAGUGCCGAACCGCCGGCCGCCGCCGAGAAACACAGGAAAUUUCUCUCGUUCUCCCAGCGGGAAAGAAGGUCUGCGUGGGAGGUGCUCGUCCUCUCCUUCACUGCAUGGCUUGGACUUCACCCGGGCAUGGCCGCCUCGGUAUCGUCUCCUCGAAGGGCAUGGAUACGCAGCUUAAUAUGCAAUAAAGAGAAGUCGCAGCUGAGCCUUGUUGCGUCGUGGGGCCGGUACCUUUCUGUUGCUGCUUAGCAAUCUGAGAGUACGCUUCAUGGUGGGCCGGUCUCUCGGCUCCAUUUGGGUGCAGAGCAGCGCAAUAUCCAUGCAUCUUUUUAUC